GGCGCGAGCAGGUGCGAAAGCAGGUCAUAGUGAUCCGGUGGUUCUGAAUGGAAGGGCCAUCGCUCAACGGAUAAAAGGUACUCCGGGGAUAACAGGCUGAUACCGCCCAAGAGUUCAUAUCGACGGCGGUGUUUGGCACCUCGAUGUCGGCUCAUCACAUCCUGGGGCUGAAGUAGGUCCCAAGGGUAUGGCUGUUCGCCAUUUAAAGUGGUACGCGAGCUGGGUUUAGAACGUCGUGAGACAGUUCGGUCCCUAUCUGCCGUGGGCGCUGGAGAACUGAGGGGGGCUGCUCCUAGUACGAGAGGACCGGAGUGGACGCAUCACUGGUGUUCGGGUUGUCAUGCCAAUGGCACUGCCCGGUAGCUAAAUGCGGAAGAGAUAAGUGCUGAAAGCAUCUAAGCACGAAACUUGCCCCGAG
RNAcentral lists this ribosomal RNA (418 nucleotides) under Salmonella enterica. Its description in RNAcentral is "partial 23S ribosomal RNA". It matches the Rfam family "Bacterial large subunit ribosomal RNA", at positions 2386 to 2803 of the family's 2925-position model. RNAcentral also lists the same sequence under 2 other names. The record is from RNAcentral. Lineage: Bacteria; Pseudomonadati; Pseudomonadota; Gammaproteobacteria; Enterobacterales; Enterobacteriaceae.